This 203-nucleotide ribosomal RNA is filed under the name Vibrio parahaemolyticus. Its description in RNAcentral is "partial 16S ribosomal RNA". It matches the Rfam family "Bacterial small subunit ribosomal RNA", at positions 87 to 293 of the family's 1533-position model. Lineage: Bacteria; Pseudomonadati; Pseudomonadota; Gammaproteobacteria; Vibrionales; Vibrionaceae. The record is from RNAcentral.
GGCGUCGAGCGGCGGACGGGUGAGUAAUGCCUAGGAAAUUGCCCUGAUGUGGGGGAUAACCAUUGGAAACGAUGGCUAAUACCGCAUGAUGCCUACGGGCCAAAGAGGGGGACCUUCGGGCCUCUCGCGUCAGGAUAUGCCUAGGUGGGAUUAGCUAGUUGGUGAGGUAAGGGCUCACCAAGGCGACGAUCCCUAGCUGGUCU